Rhagoletis zephyria (snowberry fruit fly) is the source of this 496-nucleotide long non-coding RNA. RefSeq lists it as uncharacterized. The record is from RefSeq and is a predicted model, not a curated record. NCBI's taxonomy places the organism in Eukaryota, Metazoa, Arthropoda, Insecta, Diptera, Tephritidae.
GCUAUAUGCCCAAAAUUAGGGGGGCUGCACACGACUCGUUUGUGUGGAAGGCCUCCAAUGAGAGAAUGGUAAUGGAGCGACGAUACAACAGCGGAGAUACAAAUUCUUGGCUAUUAGGCGAUUCUGGAUACCCUCUUGAACCUUGGCUAAUGACCCCAUACCGAUUACGAGAAAAUGAAACUGACGCAAGUAAAUGUAUCUACAAUGAUAUACAUAGCAAAGCAAGGAGCGUUGUUGAAAGAAGCAUUGGGGUUUAUAAAGGGCGCUGGAGGAUAUUAUCUGACGACAGAAAGCCAAGGUAUAACCCAACAUUGGUUGCCAAAAUUGCAAACGUGUGUGCAGCUCUGCAUAAUGUGUGCAUCAGCCGCAAUGUUCAGUUUGAAAGCAAUAACGAAGCUGCAACUUCACGACAAGAAAGAGGGGUAGAUACCACUCCACCAGAAAUAGUUAACCGAGAAGCUGAAAGAAUAAGAAAUCGAAUAAAAGAACAUUUUUC